CAGCCGCCACGGUAAUACAGAGGGUGCGAGCGUUAAUCGGAUUUACUGGGCGUAAAGCGUGCGUAGGCGGCUUCUUAAGUCGGAUGUGAAAUCCCUGAGCUUAACUUAGGAAUUGCAUUCGAUACUGGGAAGCUAGAGUAUGGGAGAGGAUGGUAGAAUUCCAGGUGUAGCGGUGAAAUGCGUAGAGAUCUGGAGGAAUACCGAUGGCGAAGGCAGCCAUCUGGCCUAAUACUGACGCUGAGGUACGAAAGCAUGGGGAGCAAACAGGAUUAGAGACCCGCGUAGUCCCUGUCUCUUAUAA
This 301-nucleotide ribosomal RNA is filed under the name uncultured bacterium. RNAcentral describes it as "partial 16S ribosomal RNA". It matches the Rfam family "Bacterial small subunit ribosomal RNA", at positions 509 to 809 of the family's 1533-position model. The record is from RNAcentral.